UAACCUGCCCAAGAGAUCGGGAUAACACCUGGAAACAGAUGCUAAUACCGGAUAACAACAGAUGAUGCCUAUCAACUGUUUAAAAGAUGGUUCUGCUAUCACUCUUGGAUGGACCUGCGGUGCAUUAGCUAGUUGGUAGGGUAACGGCCUACCAAGCGAUGAUGCAUAGCCGAGUUGAGAGACUGAUGGCCACAUUGGGACUGAGACACGGCCCAAACUCCUACGGGAGGCAGCAGCC
This 238-nucleotide ribosomal RNA is filed under the name uncultured Lactobacillus sp. RNAcentral's name for it is "partial 16S ribosomal RNA". It matches the Rfam family "Bacterial small subunit ribosomal RNA", at positions 122 to 355 of the family's 1533-position model. The record is from RNAcentral. Lineage: Bacteria; Bacillati; Bacillota; Bacilli; Lactobacillales; Lactobacillaceae.